Molecule: ribosomal RNA, 489 nt
Filed under: Talaromyces verruculosus
Lineage: Eukaryota; Fungi; Ascomycota; Eurotiomycetes; Eurotiales; Trichocomaceae
Description: eukaryotic LSU rRNA
Rfam family: 5.8S ribosomal RNA (bases 132-285)
Source: RNAcentral
CCCUGUUGCUUUGGCGGGCCCACCGGGGCCACCCGGUCGCCGGGGGACGCACGUCCCCGGGCCCGCGCCCGCCGAAGCGCUCUGUGAACCCUGAUGAAGAUGGGCUGUCUGAGUACUAUGAAAAUUGUCAAAACUUUCAACAAUGGAUCUCUUGGUUCCGGCAUCGAUGAAGAACGCAGCGAAAUGCGAUAAGUAAUGUGAAUUGCAGAAUUCCGUGAAUCAUCGAAUCUUUGAACGCACAUUGCGCCCCCUGGCAUUCCGGGGGGCAUGCCUGUCCGAGCGUCAUUUCUGCCCUCAAGCACGGCUUGUGUGUUGGGUGCGGUCCCCCCGGGGACCCGCCCGAAAGGCAGCGGCGACGUCCGUCUGGUCCUCGAGCGUAUGGGGCUUUGUCACUCGCUCGGGAAGGACCUGCGGGGGUUGAUCACCACCAUAUUUUUACCACGGUUGACCUCGGAUCAGGUAGGAGUUACCCGCUGAACUUAAGCAUAU